Molecule: ribosomal RNA, 254 nt
Filed under: uncultured bacterium
Lineage: Bacteria
Description: partial 16S ribosomal RNA
Rfam family: Bacterial small subunit ribosomal RNA
Source: RNAcentral
UACGUAGGGUGCGAGCGUUGUCCGGAAUUAUUGGGCGUAAAGAGCUCGUAGGCGGUGUGUCGCGUCGGCCGUGAAAACCUGCAGCUUAACUGUGGGCGUGCGGUCGAUACGGGCAUCACUGGAGUUCGGCAGGGGAGACUGGAAUUCCUGGUGUAGCGGUGGAAUGCGCAGAUAUCAGGAGGAACACCGGUGGCGAAGGCGGGUCUCUGGGCAGUAACUGACGCUGAGGAGCGAAGGCGUGGGUAGCGAACAGG